GUCCAAGGCGGCGGGGGAGUUCACGGAAGUUCCUCUUCCCCCCGCCAGCCUCUCUUAGGCAUGACCUAGGCCACACAGAAGCCCAUUGCGCAGGUGUGGCAGACUCCAAAAUGGCUGCUGUGCCGGGGGAAGGCCGAAAACCGAACAGCCGAUUUUUUUUAACUAAAGGAGGCCAGCGGGGGAAGGACGAACCUUUGCAGACACACACACACACACACACACACUCUCUCUCUCUCUCUCUCUGACUCGGACAGUUCUCCCAGAAGGCCCCUGUGCCACAUGCUAGCUGUUUGCAGCAUUUCAGCAGGAAUACAGAGUUGCAGCAGCUGCAGAAGGAAGCGGAGAUCAAUGGAAAUCACCUUUCCACAUCUUGCAUCAGAGAAACCUUUUCCACCUAUGCUACAAGUACUUAGCAUGCUUGUAGCAUGCUAAUAACCAGCGCAGUGGCACACAAGGGAGGAAACAAUGACAGAGGAAGAAGUGCAUGUCACACAGCCACAGCUAUUGCCACUGCAAAAAAGGAGGAGAAAAAACAAGCAAGCAAGCAUGUGUGUGUGCACGCACACGAAACCAAGCAGGAACUCAAAGAAGCUGACAGUUGCAGAAAUUAAAACAUCAAAAAUCAAACACAAUACCAAUUAAAAACAUAUAGCACUGGAACUUUGGAAUAUACUCUCUUGGGAUGUACACUUGUCCUUCCUUUCUGUCAUUUCAGAGGCAGGCAGAGGCAGUUCUUUUCCACUCUACCUUUGGGAAUUAAAGACUUUUGAAAAUUU
Molecule: long non-coding RNA, 776 nt
Organism: Hemicordylus capensis (graceful crag lizard)
Lineage: Eukaryota; Metazoa; Chordata; Lepidosauria; Squamata; Cordylidae
Exons: 4
Source: RefSeq, a predicted model, not a curated record